Molecule: non-coding RNA, 114 nt
Organism: Xyrichtys novacula (pearly razorfish)
Lineage: Eukaryota; Metazoa; Chordata; Actinopteri; Labriformes; Labridae
Source: the annotation of a GenBank genome assembly
GUUGGCUACGGGGACAUGCACCCCGUAACAAUCGGGGGAAAGAUAGUGGGGUCUCUGUGCGCCAUCGCUGGUGUGCUGACCAUCGCUUUACCUGUUCCCGUCAUUGUCUCCAAC